GCAAACUUGGUCAUUUAGAGGAAGUAAAAGUCGUAACAAGGUUUCCGUAGGUGAACCUGCGGAAGGAUCAUUAAAAGUGCGGACUCUUACCGUCCGGCCUCACUUUUAAACCCUUGUGAACUAGUCCCCGUUGCUUCGGCGGGCCAGCACCUUUUACGGUGCCCGGCUGUUCAUCGUCCUGGUGGACGGCUGGAGAGCGCGCCAGAAGACCACUUUAACUCGAAGUUUUGGUGCCUGUCUGAAAAAACACAUAAACGUUAAAACUUUCAACAACGGAUCUCUUGGUUCUCGCAUCGAUGAAGAACGCAGC
Molecule: unclassified non-coding RNA, 310 nt
Filed under: uncultured fungus
Lineage: Eukaryota; Fungi
Description: partial contains small subunit ribosomal RNA, internal transcribed spacer 1, and 5.8S ribosomal RNA
Rfam family: Eukaryotic small subunit ribosomal RNA (bases 1-73)
Source: RNAcentral